CAGAGAGUAGUUUAUAAAAAUAUUAAUUUUGGGAAUUAAAGAUAAAAGUAAUUUUUUCUCUGA
RNAcentral lists this transfer RNA (63 nucleotides) under Chionoecetes japonicus pacificus. RNAcentral's name for it is "tRNA-Pro". The record is from RNAcentral. Lineage: Eukaryota; Metazoa; Arthropoda; Malacostraca; Decapoda; Majidae.